RNAcentral lists this long non-coding RNA (640 nucleotides) under Phoenix dactylifera (date palm). Its description in RNAcentral is "long non-coding RNA (PDAC_LNC013531)". The record is from RNAcentral. Lineage: Eukaryota; Viridiplantae; Streptophyta; Magnoliopsida; Arecales; Arecaceae.
GAGAGAGAGAAGUUUGAUUUACAUCAUCUAUAAAAAGAACCAAAUUUGGAGGUAUUGGACUUUAUUCUUAUGAUAAGAUGAAAUUAUAUUGAUAAGUAGAACUAUUGGAAGACUGAGGUUAGUCCUCUAGUAGAGAAGAAUGUUGUUGAUUCUAUGAAUAAUUUGGAGAUAACUAUGUAAUUUUCACCCGUGGGUUUUUUUAUUGUAGACAGUGCUUGGAAGAAUCUUGGGCAUCCUAAAUUUAGUAUUAACGGAUUGAUGGUUACUUGGUUGGACUUAGACCUAUGGAUCUCCUGUUCCUAAUUCUGACGUUAUUAAUCUAUCUGUUCGAAAGGGUUUGAGGUUUUUUUUUAGGAUAAAGGUUGAUCAUUAAAUCAUGGGCAAAGUUAAGAGGAAAAAAAAAAAGAUUAUAGAUUAUGAAAAGUACUUGAUGCUAAGGCUCUAACCUAUUUGUUUUAAGCCGAUUAUGAUUUUUGUGUGGAAUUAAUCAUGAACAAUAAAUUUCUUGGGCAAAGAAUUAUGGAAUUUAAAAUCCAAGGCUGGAAAGUUAGUCUUACUUUGAAAGAGAUCAAAGUAACUUGCUAUGAAUCCCAGAUUUGUUGGUCCGUUCGAGAUCUUAGAAAGAGUUGGUAAGGUGGCU